Molecule: long non-coding RNA, 2030 nt
Filed under: Bos taurus (domestic cattle)
Lineage: Eukaryota; Metazoa; Chordata; Mammalia; Artiodactyla; Bovidae
Description: Meg8-IT3
Source: RNAcentral
CAUUUCCCCAUCUGUUUGCCAUGAAGUGGUGGGGCUGGAUGCCAUGAUCUUAGUUUUUUGAAUGUUGAGUUUCAAGCCAGCUUUCUCACUCUCCUCUUUCACCCUUAUCAAUAGGCUCUUUAGUUCCUCUUCACUUUCUGCCAUAAGGACGGUGUCAUCUGCAUAUCUGAGGUUAUUGACAUUUUUUGGGGCAGUCUUGAUUCCAGCUUUUGCUUCAUCCAGCCCAGCAUUUUGCAUGAUAUACUCUGUAUAUAAGUUAAAUAAACAGGGUGACAAUAUACAGUUGUGGGCACAUGUUGAGGACAGAUCAUGUAAGAAGCAUUAGGAUUGACCAGAUUGUAUUCUCCAAAUUUUAUUAACAACUCAAACAUAAUCUAGUCAGUUAUGUUUAUGACUAAUAACUGGAUGGACAGAUGCUUGUGUCAUUCAGAAUUUAUUUUCUUUCUCUUCAUAGAUACUGAUGUAUUGUUAUAAUUGAAUGAAUAAAAAAUGUUAUCUUAUUAGUUUGAGCUGUUGCUACUGAUGUUAUAGAAAGAAAAAAUUCCUAACCUACUUACAUUUUUGAUAAGCAACAUAUAGUACAUUGCAUAUAAUAAUAUUUCUGUUCCGGAGUACUAGCUGGCUUGCCAUUUUGACUUUCUUCAUAUGAUGGACAUAUGGUUUAAUGAUUCCUUGAGUAGUUACAUAAAUAAAUGAACAUAUAAAAUUGAAUUAAGCAGAGUCACCACUGAGAAUGUGAAAUAAGGAUAUUUUACGAGAUUGUGGGUAUUUUCUUUUUCUGUUUUUUUUUUUUUAAUUUAAAUUGACAUAUAGUUAAUACAUGGGCUUCCUCGGUAGCUCAGCUGGUAAAGAAUCCACCUGCAAUGCAGGAGACCCUGGUUCGAUUCCUGGGUUGGGAAGAUCCGAUGGAGAUGGGAUAGGCUACCCACUCCAAUAUUCUUGGGCUUCCCUGGUGGCUCAGCUGGUAAAGAGUCUGCCCACAAUGCAGGAGACCUGAGUUUGAUCCCUGGGUUGGGAAGAUCCCCUGGAAAAGCGAAAGGCUACUCACUCCAGUAUUCUGACCUGGAGAAUCCGAGGGACUGUAUAUUGCUUCCAUAUCUUGACAAUUGUAAAUGAUACUGCUGUUAAUAUCGAUGAAUGUGCAUCUUUUUGAAUUAGUGUUUUUUUUUUUUUUUUUCUAAUAUAAACCCAGAAGUGGAAUUGUUGGGUCAUAUAAUCAUAUUUUUGUGUUUUUGAGAAACCUCCACACUCUUUUCCACGUUCUACGUUCCUACCCAUAGUAUCUGAAGGCUCCCUUUUCUCCCAUCCUUGCCAAUACCUGUCAUUUGUGUUCUUUUUGAUGAUGGUCAACUGACAAGUGUGAGGUGAUACCUCAUGUAGCUUUGAUUUGCAUUUGUGAGGCUGAGUGGUUUUUCAUGUGCCUGUUGGGUACCUGGCAUUUCCUCUUUGGAAAAAAAUCAAGUUUUUCUGCCCAGUAAAAUUUUUUUUUUAAUAUUGAGCUAUACGAGCUGUUUGUAUGUGUUGAAUAUAUACCCCUUAUUGGAUGUAUUUAAAUGUACCCAAAUAAAGAUUUAAAUGUACCCAGUUCUGCAAAAGUAGCAUCCAUUAAAAUUAUCUUUUAUCCUGUUAAACUGUUAAAAUAUAAAGAUAGUUUUGAUAAGUGUCUUUCUUAUUCUUAUGUGGUGGUUUUAACAGUGGUUAUAACAUUAUCUGAAAGUCAAAUAUUGGAUUAAUUAUAAAGGUUUGAAGUUUAUAACUACCUAGUUGCACAUAACUAAAUUACAUUUAAAUUCUAGUUUAAUUCUCCCGUUUCCUCCACGGAAUGAACAUAGGACAGCACACAUUCAUUUUCUAAGAAGCAAAAUCUAGGCAGUUAGCUUUGUGCGUUAAGAACCUAGAAAUAAGUAAGUAAGACUUGAAUUUCCUAUCCUUGUAUAGGAUGAUUUGUUCACAAACAUUCAGUGGUAUUUCAAAAGCGUCAACGUGUGUAUACAGGAAAUAGAAAUCUCAAAUAGGGACCAGUGAUGGGA